Molecule: long non-coding RNA, 1031 nt
Filed under: Ricinus communis (castor bean)
Lineage: Eukaryota; Viridiplantae; Streptophyta; Magnoliopsida; Malpighiales; Euphorbiaceae
Description: long non-coding RNA (RCOM_LNC001804)
Source: RNAcentral
GGCAAGAAGACUUUGAAUUGGAAUUUUGGCUUUUAAAACAGCAAAAAAAUUAAAAAUUUAUUUAAAAGAGUUGAACAACUUCAACCAUAUUAUAUUUUUAAAUAUCCACAUUUAAUUAUUUGGUUUUUUUAAUUUUUUAAUUUUUAACUUAAUCACCAAAUAUAUUAAAUAAAUUUAAUUUAAUAAAUAUCUUAAUUUUAUUUGUUAAAAUGUUUAAACAUUUAUAAAUAACACACGUGAAUAUAUUAAAAUAAAAUUAUUUAUAAAAAAUAUUUAAAUAUUAUACCAAAAAAUUAAAAUAUUCAAAUGGAUAAAAUUUAAAUAUGCAAAUAUACAUUUUAUUCAAUAAAUUUAUUAAUAAAUUGAAUAUUCAAAUAGGCUAAAUUAAUACGAAAAUAAAAAGAGUUGGUAGUCCGAUUUCAGUUCCGAAAUGGGACUGGAGCAAUGGUUUUAAUUAUAGCUGAACGAAAACAAUCAUAUCAGAGGUUUCAGUUCUACCAUAACUGAAACUGGAAUCCAACAAUCAAUAGCCGGUUCGUUUCAAUUAAAAAAACCGGACGGCUUCAGUUCCAUCUGCUUCCGAACUGGAUUGUUAAAAAUGUAAAAAUAAUAAAAAGUUUAAAGACGUUUUAACUGAAAGGUAUAAUUUUCUAGCUGUUCCUGCCAUCCGAUUUGAGUUUUAUCUUGCUCCACCAUCUACCAUCUAUGAUAUGAACUCAACUUGACUCUUUGUUCCAAAAAAAAGAAAAAAAAGAAAAAAACUCAAACUCAUCUCGACACCACGCAAUUGAACAUGUGAAAAAUAACAUAUAGCAGCAGUUUGUUGAAGCCUUGGGGAGGGAGAGAAAAAGAAAAAUUAAAUAAACAAAGGUGAGGCAGAGGUGGAGGCGGAGGCAGCAGGCGCGGAGGCUGUGUUCGGCGGCAGCGGCAAGCAAAGUCUUUUUAGUAACUUCUCUUUGCUAUCUUUAUUUGAUGAGCAAGAUUGGUAAAUAAAGAAAAGGGAAUACAUUUAAGAGAGAUCUGAAAAUAAA